AACGCACCUUGCACCCUUUGGUAUUCCGAAGGGUAUGCCUGUUUGAGUGUCAUUAAUAUCUCAACUUCAAAAAUGUUUAUUGUUUUUGAAGCUUGGACUUUGGAGGUUUUGUUGCAGGCAAUUAACAUUGUCAGCUCCUCUUAAAUGCAUUAGCGGAACUUUGUUAAGGACCAGCUUUGGUUUGAUAAAUCCUAUCUAUGCCGUCGCUGUGGACUUUGUGUUAUGUUCAGCUUCUAAUGGUCUUCGGACUGUCUCUUUAUUGAGGCAUACACUUUUAAGCUUGACCUCAAAUCAGGUAGGACUACCCGCUGAACUUAA
This 318-nucleotide unclassified non-coding RNA is filed under the name uncultured Clavariaceae. Its description in RNAcentral is "sequence contains ITS2". The stretch from base 1 to 52 matches the Rfam family "5.8S ribosomal RNA", at positions 103 to 154 of the family's 154-position model. Lineage: Eukaryota; Fungi; Basidiomycota; Agaricomycetes; Agaricales; Clavariaceae. The record is from RNAcentral.